UGACUAGUUUUGUCCUUGCUGUCUCCCC
RNAcentral lists this small RNA (28 nucleotides) under Bombyx mori (domestic silkworm). RNAcentral describes it as "ovarian small RNA-3624". The record is from RNAcentral. Lineage: Eukaryota; Metazoa; Arthropoda; Insecta; Lepidoptera; Bombycidae.